RNAcentral lists this small RNA (1118 nucleotides) under Pan troglodytes (chimpanzee). RNAcentral describes it as "retained intron". The record is from RNAcentral. Lineage: Eukaryota; Metazoa; Chordata; Mammalia; Primates; Hominidae.
UGGUGCUCCAGUAUCGGGACUACCAGAGGGCCACGCAGAGGCUGGCGGGCAUUCCGGAACUGCUCAACAAACUUCGCCAGGCCCCUGAUUUCUACGUUGAGAUGAAGUGGGAGUUCACCAGCUGGGUGCCCCUUGUGUCUAAGAUGUGCCCAAGCGAUGUGUACCGCGUGUGGAAGCGGGGUGAGAGCCUGCGAGUAGACACCAGUCUCCUGGGCUUCGAGCACAUGACCUGGCAGCGGGGCCGGAGGAGCUUCAUCUUCAAGGGCCAGGAGGCAGGAGCCCUGGUGAUGGAGGUGGACCAUGACCGGCAGGUGGUGCAUGUGGAGACGCUGGGGCUCGCUCUGCAGGAGCCCGAAACACUGCUGGCCGCCAUGCGGCCCAGCGAGGAGCAUGUGGCCAGUCGCCUCACCUCUCCUAUUGUCUCCACCCACCUGGACACUCGUAAUGUGGCCUUUGAGAGGAACAAAUGUGGUAUCUGGGGCUGGCGGUCUGAGAAGAUGGAAACUGUUAGCGGCUACGAGGCCAAGGCAGGAGAGGCUAGGGGUGGGGGGCUGGGGGUAGGAGAUGAGGUCCAGGAACUCAGCUCCUCUCCACAUCCAUCCCAGAGUAGCCCCUGGGCUCUGGAAACCCUGAGCAUUUGUGGGAACUCAGCGGGCCUGAGUGCCCAGCCCCUGCGGAGUACACAGGGCUCACCCACAUCACGGGCCCCUACCCAGGGUACCGAGAUCAAAAGAGGAGUGUGUUCCUCUUGACCCUGGGGCUGCAUCUCCUCGUUGGUGACUUCCCGGGGUUCAGACCCUGCCACCUCCUCCAUUUUGGGGAGCAAGAUCUCAUCUGUCUCUGGGACAGGAGGACCUGGGUUCUGCACUGGUGAGGCUGAGUGUGGGGAGCAGGCUCUGAGCCCCCAGCUCCCCGUGUCCCCUGCUCCCCAGGUGUACAGUGCCACCAACGUGGAGCUGGUGACACGCACACGCACGGAGCACCUCUCUGAUCAGGACAAGUCGAGGAGCAAAGCGGGGAAGACUCCGUUCCAGUCCUUCCUGGGGAUGGCGCAGCAGCAUUCCUCCCACACCGGGGCCCCCGUGCAGCAGGCAGCCAGCCCCACCAACCCCACAGCC